UUUAUUUUACAUAUAAAUUUUAGCAUAUAAUUUUAAUUAUUUUAAUAAUAAUUAAUUAUAAUAGUAGUAAUUAAUAUUAAAAAUUUAAGAAAUUAAGAUUUAGUAAUAUAAAAAUUAAUAACUAAUUUUGUGCCAGCAGUUGCGGUUAAACAAAAAUUAAAUUAAAUUAUUUCAGUUUAUAAUUAAUAAGUAAUAAUUAAAAUAAAUAUUAAAUUAUUAGGUGAAAUUUUAAUUUAAUUAAAUUUUAUUUAAAUUUUAUGAUUUAGUAAAUUUUAAUAUAAACUAGGAUUAGAUACCCUAUUAUUGAAAAUUUAAUUUAUAAUACUAAAAUAGUAAAUAAUAAUUUAUUGAAACUUAAAUAAUAUGGCGGUAUUUUAGUUCAUUUAGAGGAAUCUGUCUAAUAAUUGAUAAUCCACGAAUAAAUUUACUUAAUUUAUAAUUUUGUAUAUCAUUGUUAAAAAAAUAUUUUUUAGUAAAAAUAAUAUUUAAAAUUUAAAAAUAAAAAUUAAUUCAGAUCAAGAUGCAGAUUAUAAUUAAGAAUAUGAUGGAUUACAAUAAAUAUAUUUAAAUGAAUAAUUUUUUUGUAAUAAAAAUUUGAAGGUGGAUUUAAAUGUAAUUUUAAUUAGUUUAUUAAAAUGAUUAUAAAUUAAAAUAUGUACAUAUUGCCCGUCACUUUCAUUUAAAAAUUGAAAUAAGUCGUAACAAAGUAGAGGUACUGGAAAGUGUUUCUAGAAA
This 735-nucleotide non-coding RNA is filed under the name Nymphalis ladakensis. The record is from RNAcentral. Lineage: Eukaryota; Metazoa; Arthropoda; Insecta; Lepidoptera; Nymphalidae.